CUCUGGGACGUCCCGCGCUCGGCGGCGCUCCAUUGGGACCUCCCUCGUACCCGGUGCCUCCUCCGCUGUCACCACCCGGCGGCGGGCCAGGCCGAGGCCAGUGCGACCGAGCCCUGAACGAGCCCUACUUCGAGCUUCGCAGUGCAGACCUGGGCACGGGGGACCUUGACUGCAGGUUCAUUGUGCGUCGGCGGGGCGCCGACCAGUGCCGUCUGGAGUUGCUGUUCGUGCGUUUCGACGUGCACUGCACCUAGGACCAGUUCCGCGUGCAAGACAUCCAGAUAUGUGGCAGACUGGAUCACUACUCCACGCGCACCUACGACUUCGAAGGACCCGAGUUGUAUCUGUACUACCACA
Long non-coding RNA from Dermacentor silvarum, 357 nucleotides. RefSeq lists it as uncharacterized. NCBI's taxonomy places the organism in Eukaryota, Metazoa, Arthropoda, Arachnida, Ixodida, Ixodidae. The record is from RefSeq and is a predicted model, not a curated record. The transcript is spliced from 3 exons.